Molecule: ribosomal RNA, 406 nt
Filed under: uncultured bacterium
Lineage: Bacteria
Description: partial 16S ribosomal RNA
Rfam family: Bacterial small subunit ribosomal RNA
Source: RNAcentral
AUUGAACGCUGGCGGCAGGCUUAACACAUGCAAGUCGAGCGAGCGGCGGACGGGUGAUUAAUGCUUAGGAAUCUGCCUAUUAGUGGGGGACCACAUCUCGAAAGGGAUGCUAAUACCACAUACCAUCAGAUGUGCCCCGAUGGGAUUAGCUAGUAGGUGGGGUAACGGCUCACCUAGGCGACGAUCCCUCGCUGGGCUGAGAGGAUGACCAGUCACACUGGAACUGAGACACGGCCCAGACUCCUACGGGAGGCAGCAGUGGGGAAUAUUGCACAAUGGGCGCAAGCCUGAUGCAGCCAUGCCGCGUGUGUGAAGAAGGCCUUCGGGUUGUAAAGCACUUUCAGUGGGGAGGCGUUACCCGAAGAAGAAGCACCGGCUAACUCCGUGCCAGCAGCCGCGGUAAUAC